AUGGAUCAGAGGAGAGGGGCGAAGAUGGGGCGAGUCACCAUCUACCGGAACCGCGCUCUCGGACACGAACAUUUGAUGGAAGACUACUUCUCCGAGGUACCUACAUACCCUCCUCGUCUCUUCCGCAGAAGGUACCGAAUGCGGCGUAGUUUGUUUGUGAAGAUUGUCACCGAUUGUGAGGCCGCCUCAUAUUACUUUAAACGUCGUAGAUCCGCCGCCGGUAUCAUGGGGUUUAGUGCAUAUCAAAAGAUAUCGGCGGCAAUGCGGGUACUCGCUUAUGGCAUACCCGUGGAUUAUACCGACGAGUAUCUUCGCAUUGGGCAAGAUACAACCACGGAGUCAGUCCGUAGGUUUGCCAAGUUGGUCAUCCGGUUAUACGGUGAGCAGUAUCUUCGGGCACCAAACGAGGAAGAUACAAAGAGAUUAAUGGAAAUGAAUGAAAAAAGGGGAUGGCCGGGGAUGCUAGGUAGUCUUGAUUGCAUGCAUUGGAGGUGGAAAAAUUGCCCAAAGGUAUGA
RNAcentral lists this ribosomal RNA (516 nucleotides) under Triticum aestivum (bread wheat). RNAcentral's name for it is "partial small subunit ribosomal RNA". Lineage: Eukaryota; Viridiplantae; Streptophyta; Magnoliopsida; Poales; Poaceae. The record is from RNAcentral.